ACGUAGGGUGCAAGCGUUAAUCGGAAUUACUGGGCGUAAAGCGUGCGCAGGCGGUUUUGUAAGUCAGAUGUGAAAUCCCCCGGCUCAACCUGGGAACUGCCUUUGUGACUGCAAGGCUAGAGUACGGGAGAGGGGGGUGGAAUUCCAGGUGUAGCAGUGAAAUGCGUAGAGAUCUGGAGGAACACCGAUGGCGAAGGCAGCCCCCUGGGCCGGUACUGACGCUGAGGCGCGAAAGCGUGGGGAGCAAACAG
Molecule: ribosomal RNA, 251 nt
Filed under: uncultured prokaryote
Description: partial 16S rRNA
Rfam family: Bacterial small subunit ribosomal RNA
Source: RNAcentral